This 4660-nucleotide long non-coding RNA is filed under the name Ornithorhynchus anatinus (platypus). Its description in RNAcentral is "lncRNA (ENSOANG00000040886.1)". Lineage: Eukaryota; Metazoa; Chordata; Mammalia; Monotremata; Ornithorhynchidae. The record is from RNAcentral.
AUGAUUAGCACUUGCUGCCCACCCAAACCUCUGCUAUCAUUGGUUAAGCAAGCCGGGCGGAAAGUUUGCCUGGGGCUGCUUCCCAGUCUCCCGAGGAGAAAACCGAUCCUCGAAUGGCAAAGUCCACCCCACUCAAGCGAAGAGGAUCGGCUACAGCUUGUGAGGAUCGCUCAGGAGUGUGUCUCUAGCUGUUUUAUUAACCAAAUCAGAGUUCUGACAGGCUCAGGUAGGCUGGCAACGAGGGCAUAUCACUCCUGCUGAGACCACCGGAGACAUCAUGUGGCUACCAUGGUUGGCAUCACCAUCAGGUUUGCUGUUUAUUUGUUUUCAAAAACCCUUCCCUCUCAGCUUCUGGAGUAGGAGGAAACAAUUUAAGUGUUUCCUAGGGGUUAAAUACUCUACUAAGAACGGGGUAGGUACGAGAUAAUCAGGUUGAACACAGUCCCUGUCCCAUGUGGGGCUGGCUCUCAGUCUGAGGCAUUUAAUCCCUAUUUUACAGAGGAACGAAAUGGAGGCACAGAGAAGUCACGACUUGCUCAAGAUAGAACAGCAGACAAGUAGUGUGAGCCAAGGUGAGAAUCCAGGUCCUCUGAUUCCAUGUUCUCCUCAGCAGGAAAUGCUGCUUCCUCCAAAGACACCAAAGUAAGGGCAAGCUUGUUCCAAAAUCAGAAUUCUUGACUGUUAUUAUUAUUGUUAAUAAUGAUGAUAGUACUGGUAUUCGUUAAAGAGCCUCUAUGUGCCAGACAGUCUAAAAGCGCUGGGUGGAUACAGGCACAUCAGGUUGGACACAGUCCCUGUCUUAAUCUCCACUUUACAGAGGAUGUAACUGAGGCCCAGAGAAUUGAAGUGACUUAUUCCAAGGUCACACAGCAAAUAGAGCAGGGAUUAGAACCCAGGUCUUCUGACUCUCAGACCCGUGCUCUAUCCACUAGGCCAUGCGGCUUCUCUUUUUACAGGUAAUUAAUGUUGGUAUUUGUUAAGCACUUACUAUGUGCAGAGCACUCUUCUAAGCGCUGGGGUAGACACAAGGGAAUCAGGUUGUCCCACGUGGGGCUCACAGUCUUAAUCCCCACGUUAAGUGACUGGCCCAAAGUCAAACAGCAGGCAAGGGACAGAACUCAGGUCCUCCGGUUCCCGGGCCCGUACUCUUUUGACAAGGUCACAUUGUUUCUCACCUAAUUUCACCUCUCCCAUCCCCACGUGUAAGGAUUAAACCCAGAUGUGUAAGCAAGGGUAGAGAGGUCCUUCUAAACCAGAAGUAUUUGUUUGUUAAGCACUUACUAUGUGCAGAGCACUGUUCUAAGCGCUGGGGUAGACACAGGGGAAUCAGGUUGUCCCACGUGGGGCUCACAGUCUUAAUCCCCAUUUUACAGAUGAGGUAACUGAGGCACAGAAAAGUGAAGUGACUUGCCCACAGUCACACAGCUGGCAAGUGGCCGAGCGGGGAUUCGAACCCAUGACCUCUGACUCCAAAGCCCGUGCUCUUUCCACUGAACCACGCUGCUUCUCUGUCUCUGCAGUUAAUUGUCCUGACUGUUGCUUGGAAUAAUUGUAAAAACUGCAGAGAACGUGAGCCCCAUGUGGGAUAGGGAUUGUGUCCAACCGAUUUGCUUGUAUCCAGCCCAGCGCUUAGAAGAGUGCCUAGCACCUAGUAAACGCUUAAAUACCACAGUUAUUAUUUUUUGCCAUAGUCACUGUAAGAUCAUUGUGAACAGGGACUAUGUCUGUUAUAUUGUACUCUCCCAAGUGCUCAGUACAGUGCUCUGCACAGAAUAAGCACUCAAUCGAUACAACUGACUGUUGAAUUGGCUUGAUGACCACUAUUGCUGUAGAAGUUCGUUUCUGUGAACGGAAUUUUUCACGACUAUUGUGCCUUUCCCCACCUUCACCCUGUGAGCUCAGAGCAGGCAAGGGCCCUGUAUGUUUUCCCUUGUCAUUUCUCCAGCUCCCAGACCAGUGCAGUGCAAAAAUAGCUACAAGUAUUGUCGAGACCCUCACAGAAAGGUGUCUUUGAUCCUUAAAGAUUAAGCUUUAUAUAUUAAAUGCUCCGGGGCCCCACGAAGUGGGCACUCAAAGGCUAUUGCUACUGCAAAGCAGGUGGGGAGGUGCAAAACAGUCAGAUCAGACCCAAGUGGUGUUGGACUGGGAGUCAGAGGAUUUGGAUUCUAAUUCUGGCUCUGCCACCUGUCUGCCAUGUUAACUUCAGCAAACCGCUUAACUUUUGUCCCUCAGUUUCCUCGUCUUUCAUUCGGUCGGAUUUGAGCGCUUACUGUGUGCAAAGCCAUCUCUAAUAUGAGGAUUAACUACCUAUUCCCCCUCCUACUUAGACUGCGUCCAAUCUGAUGCUCUUUUAUCUAGUACAGCACAAGUGCUUAAAACAUUCUUAUUAUCAAUCAAUGGUAUUUAGUGAGUCCUUAAUGUAUGCACAGUACUUGUAUCGCACUUGGGAGAGUACAACAGAGGUGGGCAGAUAUGUUCUCUGCUCACAAGUGACUCACAAUCUAGUGGGGGAGACAGACUAUGGUAUAGAUAAAUUACGGAUAUGUGUAUUAAGUGCCGUGGGCCUGAGGGUGUAUCAAGUGCCUAGGUGACACAGAAGGGAAUGACUAAUCUUAGAAGGAAGGAGAAUAAGUCACUUAUCCCCAUUUGACGGAUGGUGGAACGGAGGCACGGGGUGAAGUGAUCCGCCCGAGGCCACACGGCAGGCAACGGCUACCCUGUGCCUGAGACGCGGCGUGGCCUGUUGGAAAGAGCGGGGGCCUUGGAAUCAGAGGACCUGGGUUCUAAUCCCACCUCUGCCAAUUGCUGGCGGUAUGACCUUGGGCAGAUCUAUGUGCCUCAGUUUCUUCAACUGUACAAGGAGGGUUCGAUAUCUGUUCUCUCUCCUAUAAUCGGUGAGCCCCUUGUGGGACGGGGACUGUGUCUCACCUAACUGAUCUGUACCUACCCCAGCACUUAGAACAGUGGUUGACACAUACUAAGUGCUUAACAAGUACCUAAAAAUAAGAAUAAACACCAACAACUCAGGUCUCUGUUCCUCCAGGCCCUGGCUCUUUCCACCAGGCUUCAGUUAGACAUGAUCUGCAAUAAAAGUCCAGGAUCGGGUUGGUGUGGGCCUAGAUAUUUUGGACGUUAAAAAAAAAAAAAAAGGGGCGGACUUUAUGUCCUCCGAAAGUGGUCAAUUUUUGCUUUGUACAUAAUAGCACUUUGCAAUUAACCUACAGAAUAAUAACUGUAGUAUUUAAGUGAUUAUUAUAUUCCAGGCACUGUACUAAGUGCUGGGGUAACAAGAUAAUCAGGUCCCACAUGGGGCUCACAGACUAAGGAGGAGGGAGAACAGAAUAUUAUCUUCAAUAAAGAGUAAAGAAAAUGUGAACAACCAACCAGUAAUUAUGACUCUGAGUGGAAGAGGUUAGUCUGUUGCUAUUGCCCAGAAUGAGAAAUACAUUGAAGACACAGAUUAAAACAUCUGCAUUUUUUAAACAAUUCAUCUGAAAACAAUCUACCCUUAUAUAAGAGAAAUGAUUAUAAUCUUCUCCAUGUUAUUAAAAAUAAUCAUACUUUAUUUGAAUUAUAAUCUUUAACAGAAUAAGAUACAUAAAUACUCUUUGCUCUCAAUUUAAUAUUUUAAAUAGGGUAAUACUAAAGUUUAUAAGUUGAUCCUCAGCUAUUAAAAUAACACCCCACUUUUUUUGCCUUAGUGAUAUCCUGUUUAAAUGCUCUCUGUUCUAAGUAUAUAUUUACCUAGCCAUCUUAGUACACUGUGAACUGAAAUUACACGCUAGUUAAACUAUAUGAAUAUCGACUGUCUUCACAGAUACAACUAUGAAAAAAAUCUGGAGAGCUAUUUGGGUCUCCUCAAAGUGUGGGAAAUAUUUUUUUACUAAAAUUAAUACGAUGAAUAGGAAUUUUCUAGUUUCUAAUGUAAAUAAAAUAUGCCUGGGCAGCAUAUUAAUACCCCGGUUAACACUUCUAGGCUUGAAUGGAUGGGGCUUGACUGAUUCUCAGGAUAGCUGGUUCUUCUUAUAUUAUUGAAAUUUAAUAGAAUACAUUUAUCAUCAUCUGUGUGUAGCCCACACACGAGAUGCUGAUAACUAGACUGAAAAUUCUUUGAGGGUAGAAUCACGUCCACUACCUUGACUGUACUCUGCCAAGUGUUUAAUUCAGGGCUCUGCCACAGUAGGCAACCCGUAAAUAAUUCAAUGGUGUUUAUGGAGCACAUACUGUGCGCAGAGCACCGAACAAAGCACUUGGGAGAGUACAAUUCAAGAGUUGAUAGAUAUGUUCUCUCCCCUGCCGGAGCUUAGAAUUUAUUGAUGAAAUGCAUCUUUAAUUAGGCAGGACACAAGAAUGGAAGUUAAGGAUUCAUAAAUUAUAACCCAUUGUGCCUUUUCAGCCAUUUACAUAACAUCCCUACUACUAAGAGGCUUAAAGUAGUGGAAAAAGAGCCUCCUUACUGGUACUCCAGGGAAUAUGAUAAUUCCCAUGCUCUCUUCCUUGGCAUGGAGGAAGCAGGGAAUUGAACGGUUGUGCCACCAUUUCCUUGUUUUAUUUUUGUUGAAGUGGUCACACUGAGGCUCCACUGUUGAUCCUAUUUUUCUUUUGGGCCCAAGAAUGCAUGCUUUCCUCCCUUACCUUCUCUAGGCAAUGGCUGAUUUUU